UUAGAGAGAAUGCACCAAAGAUUUAAAUAAGUUCGAUCAACCACUUUGCAUACUCCUGUCCCCAAGAGAUUCCUAUUGAGAUUUCCAAUAACAAUUAGUCUUGAGAUUUUAAGGAUAUGUCCACGAACCUUUUAUAAUAAUGGGAGGUUUUAUAUAGGAUAAUCCUUAAACCAAAAAGAGUUUUUAACAUACUGAACUCACAAAAUAAAUAAAGAUUAUAACCGGUUGAUCUCAAGAACAAAAUAGUGAUUUUAAGAGGUUAAUAUCAAGAACCAAACAAG
Molecule: long non-coding RNA, 281 nt
Filed under: Lathyrus oleraceus (garden pea)
Lineage: Eukaryota; Viridiplantae; Streptophyta; Magnoliopsida; Fabales; Fabaceae
Description: Pisum sativum (pea) long non-coding RNA (PSAT_LNC001216)
Source: RNAcentral